UACGGGGGGAGCAAGCGUUGUUCGGAUUUACUGGGCGUAAAGGGCGCGUAGGCGGCCAGCACAAGUCAGUUGUGAAAUCUCCGAGCUUAACUCGGAAAGGUCAACUGAUACUGUGCGGCUAGAGUGCAGAAGGGGCAACUGGAAUUCUUGGUGUAGCGGUGAAAUGCGUAGAUAUCGGGAGGAACACCGGUGGCGAAGGCGGCGACCUGGGUCGAGACUGACGCUGAGGCGCGAAAGCGUGGGGAGCAAACAGG
RNAcentral lists this ribosomal RNA (254 nucleotides) under uncultured bacterium. RNAcentral describes it as "partial 16S ribosomal RNA". It matches the Rfam family "Bacterial small subunit ribosomal RNA", at positions 524 to 776 of the family's 1533-position model. The record is from RNAcentral.